AGAUUGUGGUAUUGCUCAGCAUGUGGGGUGAAACCCUAAUUUGCUUGAUAUCCUUUGAGACAUUGAUUCAUGGAUUUUACAACAUGGUAUUCAUUUGGGUAUCCAAACCCUAAUUCUUGACCUUGCUCUUAUGGGAUCUUGUGUUUAACCUUGUGGGUACUUGACUUGACUUCUAAACCUUAAUGGUGGGUCGACGACUUGAGAUAUAUUUGAG
This 214-nucleotide long non-coding RNA is filed under the name Lathyrus oleraceus (garden pea). Its description in RNAcentral is "Pisum sativum (pea) long non-coding RNA (PSAT_LNC002317)". Lineage: Eukaryota; Viridiplantae; Streptophyta; Magnoliopsida; Fabales; Fabaceae. The record is from RNAcentral.